Alexandromys fortis (reed vole) is the source of this 4457-nucleotide long non-coding RNA. RefSeq lists it as uncharacterized. The record is from RefSeq and is a predicted model, not a curated record. The transcript is spliced from 4 exons. NCBI's taxonomy places the organism in Eukaryota, Metazoa, Chordata, Mammalia, Rodentia, Cricetidae.
GGCGGAUGCAGCGCCCCCUAGCGUCCACUUCCGGAACUUAACGUUUGUGGCAGGCUUAUUAGGCCCGGACAGUCUUCUUGGUCGUUUAUUUCUACGUUCAUUCGCAACAGGAGAUCCACCAAGUUGCCAGAGAGCUGGCUCACAGUAUGCCAUCUGUAUCGUCCGGUGACACUGAAAUGCCACCGGCGGCAUUGCCAUUGUCACAGUGAAGAAGACGCAGCAGAAGGUGCCAGCUGGAUUUUAUCCCUUCCACAAGGAGCCGCUCCUUCAAGGACACCCUGGGGGACCAUCUCCAAUCAAGAACUGAAAACCCCGCAGGGAUCGGCAGGCAGAAAGUAAGGAGAAUCCUGGAACUCUAUGGGUUGAUCUAGAAGAGUCCCGAGGAUAGCGUGUACCACUUAACACCCAACAGAAGAGGGAACCUGGAGAGCAGACUCCCAUUCUUUAUCUGCGACUCUGAAAUUAAGAAACAAACAAGCAAGCGAGCAAAACAGAAGCACAGUCUUCUCGCCCAGUCCCACUGCGAAGGGAAGGUUUGUUCAGAUCUCAUCCGAUUUACACUGGUAGCAGAAACAUGGAUGCAUCGAUUGAGUCAUGCAUGGAGCGGGGAUAUUAUAUGAGAUGUGGUGCACGGUCCUUCUACAUAGGGAUGGGUCUGGGCUUGAAUCACAUUCAGAUCUGCGAGCCUUGGCGAGGAACCGUGGGAGUAGGUUCACAGUAGUCUCGGCAGUCACCUUCCAAGAGUUGUGUUGCAAUCAGUGAGAGGUAUACGCCCCCAGCUAGCCUUGGUCUUGGGCCACUAGGGUUGUCAGAAUCCUUCAUUCCCAUCACCUGAUGGAGCCCCAUAGCCCAAGGUUCCCAUUGGAGGCUUAUGAACCAAAGAUUCCGAAACUCAGAAAGGCAUGACUCCCUCCUGGACUCAGCAAGAAUGGCCCAGCUGCCUGGUGCCUCUACCUCUCUCAGGUCAGUGAUGGUGACUCAAGACCCUUGUUCCCACCACAUGCCGUGGAACUGCAUGUUGAUACCAGCCUCGAGAACAUGGACGGUACUGAACCAUAAAGCUCCAGGGCAGCAGGGUUCUUGAACAAUAAUCCAAGCACUGCGCCGCCCCACCCUGCUCCAAUGUUGGCAGCUAAUUCAAGGUUAUCUCCAUUGCCCCAUCUCUGUCCAUUUCUCCCCCUUCAAAAUGCCUUCUACUGGGCUGGAGAGAUGGCUCAGCGGUUAGGAGCACUGGCCGCUCUUCCAGAGGUCCUGAGUUCAGUUCCCAGCAACCACCUGGUGGCUCACAACCAUCUGUAAUGAGAUCUGGUGCCUUCUUCUGGCCUGCAGGGACACAUUCAAGCAAAACACUUAUACAUAAUAAAUAAAUAAAUCUUUAAAAAAAUGCCUUCUGCUUUUGAACCCCCUGACGGCUGACCAGGAAAUCUAGUCUGUGACUUUGGGGCGACACCGGAGCUGGGAGAUAACUGCCUGUUCCUGCGCAUGGGUCAUACUGGGAGAAAGAAGAGAUAGAAAAAGGGAUUGGAUAAACACAGUGGCCUUAGUUCUACAGCCCUACCUGGCAGGUAUUCCAACACUCUCCCCCCACCCACCCAGCAGUGUCUUCUGGGAACUUCCCCUGGGCAGAGCAGCAGGUAGGACUCCCUGGGAUACAGGGACCUCACAGGAGCUCAAGUGCAAGACACAGAUUUGAACAGGCAGCACCACCGACCUGGCAUGUGUCACCUGGUACCAAUGUCGUUCCUGCUGCCAUGCCCAUCCCGGAGAAGCCCAGACUGACGGCAGAGCAUUCUGACCAAUGCUUGUCCCUCGAUGUCUCCAGUAGUUGUCCAGGAAGCGCAAUCUGCCACAACUCUGAUGGUUCCCAACUCUGAGCAGAAGGAAUGAGUUGACUGGGGUUUUCCAUUUUAGUCCAGCAGUUUCUAGCAGCCUUUCAGGAAGGGCCGUGAUGAAUGAUUCCUUUCUUCUUUCCAAGGUUUGGCAAAGGCACAGAGCCCAGCGGGAUCUGGUGUGGAGGCAGCUAGCUCUGGCAGUGACUAGCAGGCUUCUUAAAAUUAUUGGAGCAAGAUACAGGGUACAAGGGACUUCGCAGCAUGGCUGGGCCAUCAGAAAACCUACUUGAUGUGUUUAUCAAAAACAACUCUCUUAUUCUUGGUCCAUGACUUCUCUCAAGGUUUUCUGUUGACAGUGGAAAAAGUGGGGGCCGUGUUCUACUGCAGAACCUGCCUCCUGUUCUUCCAGGCUGAGGUGGACUGCACAUACCCUGCCUGAAUGACAAUGCAGAUGCCUCCCCCGGUGACACUGUGCUUUGAGACACUCUUACUGUGGCCUCGCGAUCUUUCUGCCGCCUCUCUCCAAGUUGUAGGAUUCUGAGUAUACACCAGAACACCUAGCUUACAGACCUAGCUUCCAAUUCUCACCAGUAAGAACUCCUGUGUCCAGAGGCUACUGUUCUGAAACUGACCCUCAGAUCCAGAGCCUCUCUAGAGAAUCAUGGGAAACCAUCUCUCAUCACCCAGGUGCAGAGACGCCCUCCUCACGGGAAGCUCAGAACUCAUGGGAAUAAGAAAAAUCAUCAACUAUCUACUUUCUCUGGGAAACAGAAUAGAUUCUGUUGACUUUUAUUUUCAAUUGCAUUACUCCCCUUGGUCCACCGGUUGAUUCACUAUUUUUUUUUCCAAGUUUCUGGAGGUGGAAGCUUUAUAGACCAGGCUGGCCUUGAACUCACAGAAGCCAACCUGGUCUACAAAGGGAGUUCCAGGACAGCCAGAACUGUUACACAGAGAAACCUUGUGUUAAAAAACAAACCAACAAAAACCAGAAAAACAAAACAAAAAGGAAAGGAAAAAAGGAACAAAUUGACGACUUCUUCUGAGAGAUAAUUUCACUUACUUUAAAAAACACACAGGAUGAUGAAGGAAUGGCUCAGUAGUUAUCAGCACACACUAUUCUUGCAGAGGACCCAAGUUCGAAUCCCAGUACCCACAACAGGCAAAGCACAAUUUGCCUGUAAUUGCAGCUCCAAGGGGCUUGCAGCUGCCGGCCUCCACAAGCAGCUGCGCUUGCUUACAUUUACGCCCACACAGACACAUUCACAUAGUCACAGUAAAUAUAAAAUAACAGAAACAUCUUUUUAGGGUCCAGAGAUAUGACUCAGUUGGUAAGGGGUUAUUACCAUGCAAGUCUGAGAAUCCAAGUUCGGAUCUCCAGCACCCAUGCAAGAAACGGGACACAGCCUCAUGUGCCUGCAAUUCCAGUGCUGGACGGGUAAUGAGAGAAAGAUGCCUGGGGCUUUGCUAGCUUCAGGCUCACUGAGAGAUCCUGUCUUAAAAAUGAGGUGGGGACUAACUGAGGAAGAUACCUGCCAUCAACCGUCAAUCCCUGGCCUCUUCACAUGACCCCACAAAUAAACACAUUUUUAAAUGAACAGAAAAUCUAUUAAUAUUGCACCCCAUUAGGAGCUCAGAAAAGGAAAGCACAUGCGUGUUACCAGCCUAGACUUAUUCAAUUUAUUUUACAUCAUCGUGGUCACUUUUUACAGCUGUUUGGACUUACUUUUUUCAAUCACAUUAUUGUUCACAGAAUUCACAGAAUUCAUUAACAAACUAGUAUUUUACAUCAGAGGGGUAUCAGUAGAAGAGCAGAAUAGAAAAGAUGCCCAUGAGCUCCAGUCUGAUUAGAUAGAGGUCUAGAACAUUAUUGCUUUAUUAGUCCUAUUUUUAAAAAUGAUAAAUUAUUCCUAGGAAACCCACCCUGUCAGAUGGUCUUCAUUCUGGUCACUCAUAUCUGAUUGGUAGGUACCCAGACCCAUAAGUCUGUGCUGUGCUGCUUCGGCAGUCCUGAGGGCUGGCUGAAGCCAAACAAUGCCCCUCUAUGUAUGUUUCUACAUAUAAAAAAAACCCGUAGAAGCAUUUUCUUUUCAUGUCUUUCUUUCUUUUUUUUAAUUGUCUCAGUCAGUAGCUCAGGCUGGCCUUGAACUCACUCUGUACCUCAGGCAAACCUUGAACUUAGAUCCUCCUGCCUCAGCCUCCCAAGUGGCUGAGAUUCCAGGCCUGUGCAUCAGGCCUUAGGGGCAGAAAGCUCUUCCACAGUUUCCUGUUUCUUCCCUGGUCUUGUGGCUAAUGGGCUGCAUUCACACAUGGGCCUCUAUGCAAAACUUGCUUAGAUCUAAACAAGGGUUCAAUAAAUGACUAAAGCUCCUAUGCAAGAAGCCACUGACCAUGCAAGGGAUACAUCUGAAGCAACAAAAAUAGCUCAAGUUUAAUGUGUGAGGAAUGCCUUAAAGAAAAUGUCCUUAAUGGUCAUCAUCCCGGGUGGCUGCUUAGCACUGGCUUGGCUUGUCAGUGACAUACACUUGAAGACUUCUAGCAGGCUUCAUGGCUGGGUUUUGUUUUUUCUUUUUUUUUAGUUCCAUUUAGGUUUCUAUUUUGAAAAAGGAUCUUGGAGAUUUCCUUGUG